UGUUUAUUGGGCUCUAUAUUUCAAAGCAUUUACAUCUCAUCACAAAUCACUGUUUAGUUUAAAAAAAAAAAUGUUCAUCUUGUGAGUGCUAAACAGAGAUAUAUAAUCUGCAUUUACUCUCCCUUAUUUAUAAGGCUUAUAUUUAACGAUCUCAAGGUUUAUAUAAUGUAAAACUAUUUUAUCUAUGUUAUCAGAUACAUAGGCCCAGCCUUUAUUUAAGUUUAAGAAAUGAGGCUCAACACAGUGGAAUCAGGUAUUUGAUUCAAGGGAAAGGAUCCAUGCUUUAGUAGUAGAACUGUGUUUCUUGAUCCACGAGCUGAGAACUUGGAUAUUGAUAUUGCUAGAGCUGCUAAUGAAUUACACAUCCAAUGAGCUUGAUCAAAGUCAGAUUAGGGUACAGUAAACUUGACAGAAUGUAAAAUGCUGUGACAGUACAGUGUCCAUCCAAAUCAGUGCUUAUUAAACCAGUUCUCAUGGCCCUGCAACAUUCCAGGUUUUGGCACUAUCGUCAUUGGAAUAGAAAAUGGAAAUACUGAAAGAUUAUUAGAUUAUUACUGGGCCAUGAGGACUGGCUUGGGAACUACUGAUCUCAAUGGACAAGAAGCAUUUAAAAUGCUGAGACAUGGCUUGGAAUAGUACUUUCUUUGAUCUGUUACUGACUUCAAAUAACAAUUAACAGGCAGUUAUUUAGCAAUGUAAAUAUCUGGUAUUAUGAAAGGCAAGGCAACUAUUGACAAACUAUAAUAAACAAGGAGACAUUGUGUAUUGUAAAUCUUACAGUACAAUACACGGGAGUACACAAACUCGCCAAUUUUUGUGCCAUCUUGGUUCCUCUGAUUCGUUUUUACCGAAACAAUUGCAUUAAUAAAAUUCAUUAAACGCCACAUGGAUGAAUCCCGAAUCCCCAACCAAUUUUAUUUUUAACAGAUAAAUUUGGAUGAACCAAUUUUCUUCGUCAUACACAAGUCCUGCUUUGGCUUAAUCCUCAUUAGACCUCUUCCCUUUGUGAGCAUAAAAUCUGCACAUCCAAAAGCAGCAGGGUAGGCCACACUGCUACGCACGGUUAUACAGUUUUAUCACCUUACUUUAUAUCUAUAAGAGAUUUUUGUGUUCUUUAUAGACUUAAUGGAUGCUGUCUGGAGCUUCUGUUAAUAAGAACAGGAAACACGGUACCUGAUGACAUGAAAGAAACACACAUCUGUCUAAUUGACUGCAAUUUUUCAUUAAUUUUCAAUAGAUCAACUUAAAUCUUUUUAUUUAAGCAGUUGUCCUCAUUUACAGUGCUCAGCAUAUCUAGAUUUUGACAUUCUGUGAAAUGUGAUUGGAAUCUUUUGUGGAGGUUCAAAGAGUUUCUAUAGAAUUCUGAGAAACUCAUAUAAACACAAAAGCUUGCCUCUUGCAAGGAUUUCCCUUUACCCAUAUAAUACCAUCCUGUGUCUGCUUUCCUAUAAGUAGAAUUCCAUUUCAGAAGCUUUACCAAUCAACAGGAAGUGAGUAUCUGGACUCUAAUAUAAAGUUUUAAUGUGUACAGGGAACUCUGGGUCAUAGUAAUUCAUAAUUCACCUCAGUUAUAUGAAUUAACAUGGCUGCCACCUGUCUUUGCUGUCAAAAGGAUGUGUGGUUUUUUAUCCCCUGAUCUCCACAGCUAGUACAAAAAGAUAUUAGUAUUUUUUAUUUUUUAUUUUACAUUAAGCAGCUGCUUCUCAGAGAUCAUGGAGAGCUUCAGCAGUAUGCUGCUCAUGAGUAGAGAGAAUGGGACACUGCAAAAAAAGGCAGGGAAAUCUCACAGGAUAUCCCCAACUGUCUGUUUGUGUAGGGGGUCAUUGUUUUCCUUUUGGGUUUAAGUCUGAGGACUUCCCCAUUAUUGCCAAGGUUGUUUGUUCACAAAAAAACUAAGUUUUGAUAAACCAAUAACCAAAUUGGAAAAUGAAGGCCAAAACAGUCAAAAUGGAAUUUGGAGGGGGGCCGUGUCCUAGACUCUGAACAGAGCAGAUGCAUGAUUUGAGUGAUCCGUGAUGAACAGGCCACAAAAAUUCAAUUAGGCUCUACCUACCAAACUAAAAAGGACCAUGUCCCAACCCAAAAACAAGAGACAUGAAGACAGGACCGAAAAAUCCUGUUUUUUUGCUUCUCGAGUGGGUCAGACCAAGUCUCAGUAGGCCCAGGUACUCGACCAAGAUGGCGCAAUCUGAUCAGCCACAGCCGACUCCGGAACCGGCGGCCACGCUCACUCAAGCGGUGUGCAUUGGAUGCAAUGUCCACCAAACUGCUGAAUACCCUGCAAACUGCCAUUGGAGACUUCAAAAGAGACGUCGACGAGCUUGGCAACAGGACAUCCGCGGUGGAAGACAAGACGGCGGAAAUGGCCGAAGCGCAUAAUGACCUCGCAGGGAAGGUGGAAAGCCUCCUUGCCAAAAUAGACUCGCAUGAGGCUCAGAUGGCAGCCUGGAGGUCAUAGGAAGCCGUAACAACAUCAGCGGGUUGGCUGAAGCAGUCACUCCGGCUGACCUUGCAACUUACAUCACAGGCUCCUGCAAUCCCUGGCACGGGACCUGUCUCAUGACAUACUCCUGCUGGAUAGAGCACACCGAACGGCAAGGCCCAGGUUUCUCCCACCCGAAAUGCCUCGCGAUGUGCUGCUGCGUAUGCACUACUACUAAGCUAAGGAGGCGAUCCUGAAAGCAAGCAGGACCAGAAAGACCCUGCCGGAACCCUAUAAUGGCAUUUUACUGUUUUCUGAUAUCUCUGCAGCCACACUGGAAUGCCAAAGGGACUUCCAGGACCAUCACAACAACGCUAAGAUCACACCACCUAGCCUAUAGAUGGGGUUUUCCUGUAAAGCUACUGCUCAACAGAAAUGGGAAGACUAGUGUGAUCCACUGGGGACUGGAAAACCGACACACCCCGAACCAUUCAUUGCAGAUAGGAAGACUAUCUCCAGAGUGGAAGAAAACGAAAAGACAUUGAUACCGCUUACUGGCACUGGCCUACACACAGACUGUAGUGGGCUAAACGACAACAGCAAGUAUUUUUGAUGUAACCCUUAUGCUGGAGUGUUCUAUGGGUAGCGAGGGGCCUGACCUGGUACUACAAACCGCCUCCCCUUCCCCAGAUUAUUUUAUGGGAAUUAAGCACCCAGAGCACUGUGGCUCAACUAGUAAGGGAUAGAGG
This 3171-nucleotide long non-coding RNA is filed under the name Pelobates cultripes (western spadefoot toad). The record is from RNAcentral. Lineage: Eukaryota; Metazoa; Chordata; Amphibia; Anura; Pelobatidae.